This is a long non-coding RNA of Bos taurus (domestic cattle), 800 nucleotides long. NCBI's taxonomy places the organism in Eukaryota, Metazoa, Chordata, Mammalia, Artiodactyla, Bovidae. The record is from Ensembl.
GGGAAGGAUCUGCCAGGAGUUUUUAUCCAAGACUAGGAGGAGGUUCGCUGGGGAACAGUCGAGUUUGAUCCCAUAAUCCUCCAAAGCCGGCCCAAGAAAUGACUGAUCCAGUGCCAUUCGGAGUCUGCGGAGGUUCGCUGCGACCCUCGACCCUGGGAUAGGGGAUGCUCCGUACGGGAUGUUGAGAUGCAGAACAGCCUAACUGGGGAUUUGUGUGCGCUGUGUCAGCCGGGAUCCUGUGAGCCUCCAGGGGAGCCCCCUCCACCACCAGCAGCAGCAGCUCAUCGCGCAUCUGCUCUCGUCCGGGCUUUGCACUAGACUGCUCAGCGGGAAGGACCAGAUCGCGGCUGUUAACUACCCCAAUCGCUGGUCCAGGCUUCCGUGCACCGGUUUUCCGCAGGGCUGCGUACUUAUCCGGGCUCUUUCCUGGGAAGACCUUCUCUGAUGACGAGGAGUGACUUAGCAACCGGUUUGAGUCCCUUUGCGGGGAACCCUGGCGACGUGCUGUAACUUUGGGCAGAAUAACUACUUCCAAUCUUUCCUCUCGCCAUGCGAGGAGUGGGAGAAACAAGAACUAUAUGUAAAAGGAAUUUGUAAACUUUUAAACGCCAUACAAAAGGGAUUAAAAUGGAUGACUAAUGAUGAACACUGUCAUCCUUCUCCUAGUUUCUCUCGUUUGGGGACAAUUCCCUGGCUUUUUCAAGCAUCCCAGAAGUUUUAUUGAGUGUUCUCAUUAUUUGAGAGUCUCCACCUCACCCCUCCUCCGUUUCUUAAAAAAAAAAAAAAAUUGUUCCCUCCCC